GGCGGCAGGCCUAACACAUGCAAGUCGAGCGGUAGAGAGAAGCUUGCUUCUCUUGAGAGCGGCGGACGGGUGAGUAAUGCCUAGGAAUCUGCCUGGUAGUGGGGGAUAACGUUCGGAAACGGACGCUAAUACCGCAUACGUCCUACGGGAGAAAGCAGGGGACCUUCGGGCCUUGCGCUAUCAGAUGAGCCUAGGUCGGAUUAGCUAGUUGGUGGGGUAAUGGCUCACCAAGGCGACGAUCCGUAACUGGUCUGAGAGGAUGAUCAGUCACACUGGAACUGAGACACGGUCCAGACUCCUACGGGAGGCAGCAGUGGGGAAUAUUGGACAAUGGGCGAAAGCCUGAUCCAGCCAUGCCGCGUGUGUGAAGAAGGUCUUCGGAUUGUAAAGCACUUUAAGUUGGGAGGAAGGGCAGUAAAUUAAUACUUUGCUGUUUUGACGUUACCGACAGAAUAAGCACCGGCUAACUCUGUGCCAGCAGCCGCGGUAAUACAGA
Molecule: ribosomal RNA, 496 nt
Filed under: uncultured Gammaproteobacteria bacterium
Lineage: Bacteria; Pseudomonadati; Pseudomonadota; Gammaproteobacteria
Description: bacterial SSU rRNA
Rfam family: Bacterial small subunit ribosomal RNA
Source: RNAcentral